CAUACAUACAGAUACAUCUGAUACAACGGUAGCUACGCCCCUGGUCUGACGUAACCAUUGCCUAGAUAUAGCAGAGCACUUUAAGAAUAUGGUCUACAAUGUUUUACUCCGUUAUGAUACUGAGUAUUUUUAGAAGCAUUUCAUUUUAUAUUCUACUGAUUAACGUUAUAAAAACCGUCCCAAUGCCUCUUCAAAAUUAAAACAAAACAAUAAUCUUGGGGUCCGACGCCUGAAUUAUGUUCUGUCUGUAAUUAAUUCGGUAAGUAUCCGAUUACUGCUCGAUUUAGGUACGAAUACAAACAGAUUUAUUUCGACAGCUAUUUCAUUUCUGAAACUUGCUACCUCCGAAAGUAACAUAGGCCAAACUACAGAACAUAUUAAAAGCUAAAGCUGACGCUUUCAUCCGAUCUGGCGAUUGGGGAAUGAUUUCUCAUACCUGGUAAGAAAUGUAAAAAAAAACAUUUAAAUAAUAGGUACCUACGUAAAAACACCUGACAAUUGAAGAUCCGGAUUCUUGAAAUAGUCCGUGCUAAUCGGACAUGUCCAGCUAUUUUAAAGAAGGGUUUUUUUUUCUCCUUUUAAUCCAAUAUUGUUUAUAUUCAAUACUAAAGUAUAACCCACCCAGUACCCACCGGUACACGUUGCUCGCGACACGGCAUUUCACGUAGUUUAUAGGACAGGUCUAAGAGUCCUUCCUCUCCGACCGCAUUGUGUUAAAAGAUCAUAUCCACAUAAAUAAGUCUCGAUAGAGUUGUACGCAAAAAGAGAAUGGUUCCAACUGGAACGGGAACUACGCCAGGAAACUGCGGAGCGUCUGCUUGUGCUAGAUUAAGACACGGGCAUAUUUAUCUGUGACACGGACAAAAUGUUUUGAAACAAAAAGUAUUUAGUGUGUCUUCGAGUACCUCGAGGCGUCGAAACAACGCCGCCGUGUUUCAUGUAUGCCUUAUAAAUAUAUAAUUAUGAAAAAAAUACGCAUCGCCAAAUUCAGACGGCCAUCUGGCACUGAGGUGUAAAAGUAACAAGUGCUUAAGAGAACCGCCUGACAACUGUGAAACUGAAAGUAACCCAUUGUCUUUAAAUGCGCAAAUAAAUCUUGUUGCGUUGA
This is a long non-coding RNA of Bicyclus anynana (squinting bush brown), 1108 nucleotides long. RefSeq lists it as uncharacterized. The transcript has 2 exons. NCBI's taxonomy places the organism in Eukaryota, Metazoa, Arthropoda, Insecta, Lepidoptera, Nymphalidae. The record is from RefSeq and is a predicted model, not a curated record.